ACUUAUAAAGCUUGUAAAAAUUAGAAAAAUCAAAAAAACCAGAUGGACCUUAAGGCAUCAGAGUAAGAGGAUAUUCACUAGAAGAGCAGUCGUUGCAGUGUGCUGGCUCAAGGACCAAACCAGAGAAGAGAGGUUCUUAACUCCACAUAAGGAAUUCCAAAUUGCAUUUGUUCAGUCACUGAAGGCUGAUUCAAGGGUCAUAUAGGUUUAGUGUAAUGCCAAAGCACUGCAAUGCAGUUCUAAUUGUAAAAAUGUUAGUUGUGAUUUAAAAAAAAAAAAAAUAAUUUCUAGUAUCGCUUCUUUGAAUCCAGACAGAUAGUGAGUUGUUAGUCUUGAGCAUAGGUAGACAAAAUUUCCAUAGAAAACCGAGUGGUAUGUACAAUGUGCAGUUCAAAACAUAUCACUAAAACAUAGUAAUGAGAAAUUAAACCAGAGUUAAGGGCAUUACAUGACUAGAUGAAAGAUAACCAACAGCAUUUUUUAUAAUUUCUCUAUAAUUUCAUAAGAGAAAAAUCAACAACAAUUGCAAAUCAGCCCUAGAGUUGCUUCAGUUUCACUGGAGCUGUGGUAUUAAUGAUAUGACCUAAAGAAUAGAAUAAUAUGAAAUGGAUAGCUGAAAUAUCAGAGGUAAGAGAAGUUUGCUUUGUUUUGCUUUGGGUUUUUUUUCAAUUGCUGCUAGCAGUAUCCAGUAAUAAAUUUAAUAACCGACAGCUUAAAAAUAACCCUUUGGUUCCACACAUACCUUUUUUUAAUAUCUGCUGUUCACUUAUUACUUCUUAUAUGCCUGGUGUUUCCUUACAAACUUUCCAUCCAGACCAGAGCUACACAAGAUGCAUAGGUUCAGAGGGACUAUUCAAACACUGACCUCAGUUCCAGUUAAAUGAUUUUACAAACUGAGAUUUCACUGUGCACUUCAGGCUUUUAACUAACAGCAAAACUUCAAGCAAAACUUCAUCAUAAACACAUAAAAUUAUUGAAGUUUCUGAAACAAAACAAAGUGCCCCUCCAAUAUUGUGAAACAAGAGGUUAUGUCUGCUAUAUUUAAAGAAUGAAUUGGAAGCAAUUCACUUUUUCACUCUUUUUGUGGAUUUUUAUUGUUGACAUGACAAACCUGUUUAUAAACAUAAAAUCCAUGUACAGUUUUGUAGAAAAUCAAAAUCCCUUACUAUAAUAUACAGAACUAGGUAGAUUCACUAGAAUAAUCCACAGAAAAGAAGUACUUAUGGGCACGCAGAUGCAUACAUGUAUAUACACACACAUACAAUUCUAUUUCUACUGGCUCCUAAUUUUAGCAUGUCACAGUGGAAUUACUGCAACAAUUUUGCUAUUAGACAGGACUUGAUUACCAAGCAAGGGUAGAAUUUAUAGCCUCCUAAUUUUAAAUUCUUCCCAUCUGAGCACAUUUGUCAACUUAAAAAAAAAGUUACUGGUUACUAGCACAUUGUUGUGUCUGUUAGCUAAACUUAGUGAGACACAGGGGAGAAGGUAUAUUAGAAAAAAAUUGUAUUUCAGUUAGAGAGGGGGUCAUAAUAAUGAACAACAUGUAGAUUUGUAUAAAAAUAUAUCUACUCAAGAUUUAAAAGGAAUCAAGACUAUGUAAGCAUGACACCCCCCACCUAUGUAUACAUGCAUAUCCGUGAAGCAUGCUACAAUUAAGAUUUCCAGCUACUGAGAAUCAAUACCAAAUUUUUUAAAGUUUGAAGAGAGAGUUAAGAUCAGUUCAUAUAAAAUCUGAAAUAAAUACUUUUUGUGAUGUUGUUCUGGGCUGCUCCAUGACAAAGAGAAAUCAUGACCUUCAUUUCAUACUCCAUGGGAGGUGUAUCAACCUUCCAGCAUUUCACAGGCUCCCGCAAAGUCUUCGUGUUUCCAAACUUUCCAUAGCUGAAGCAAGGCAUGGAUGCAAUUCAACAGCCAAAAUAUUAUUGCAAGCAGAUAUCAAUACUGUCUAAGUGGCAUGGGAAAGGGCUUCAUUAGGAUCUUUUACCAUAACUUGUUAUGUAAAACUGUUCUAGUCACUGUUGGGAAAUUCUUUGGUGCUAGAUUCAAGCUGCUCUUUGGACAAGCUAAAACUUCAAAACUACCACACCUUUUGGGAAGGGGAACUAAUUAGUUAGGAAGAGAAUCUAUUUUCAUGAUGCACCUAUAGAAAUGCAACUGCCAGUCAGAAAGCUCACCUUUUCUUAGAUGGGAUUCUUUCAUUCUCCACAUUACCAUACUGACCAUUUUAGAAUUGCUCAGGUAGAUAGUAAGCAACAUGAAAUUAUUCAUUAAGACAAAUGACUACAACCUUUUGCCUAAAUUCAUGCAAAUUUAACUCCUUACAACAUAAAUUAUUCCACUACCUUCAUUUGCAAUUGAUUGGUCAGUUAUCAGCCAGUAUGAGUGAAAAUGGCAGAAUCAGGCCCAAUGCAGCCUACAGGAGACAGAUUUUUUUAACAAUUGCCCUAAACACAUUUUUGUCCUCUCUACCAAAGUUGGGCAGCAAUCUUUCAGUGUAUUUCAUUGAGAUAUUUUAUAUGAAUGAGAUAGAGAAUUUUCCGGUUCAGAGUCUGGAAUCUCCUCCGAUAGAUCUUGGAAGGAAUUGACACAGUACUUAAUGAAUGUUUUCCAGUUUCAGUUUAUGCCCUUAAAACAGCCUACUAUAACAAUCUAGGGGUUCAUUUCUAGUUUUAUCUCGAUGACAAACUGUAUUCUAACUUCCGUGGUUCAGACUAUGUUUUCAAAAUUUAAAGCUCAAGAUUCAGACACCAUAAUGUUCUGCCUUUCCUAUGUUCUCCUCCUCCUCCACCUCCUCUGCUAUAAUUUGUUGUCCUUCUCAAAAGAGAUUUUUUUCUUUUUAUUUGUUAUUUUUCUUUUAUAUGCAGCCCUUCACUCAGCCUGAAGUUCAGAAUAAAGUCCUCUCUUCAUAUUGAAAUUAAAAUGCAAUUGAAUCAAUUAAGCAAGAAUGGAAAGGCCUUAACAAUGUUUUCAGACAUUUCUUUCUUUGUUAAGGAGAAAAAUAUUAAUAAGAAUUCUAGCCAGAAACUGCACUAUGUUUCUGUUGUGAUCAACUCCAUUCUUUCUCUGAUUUGCUAGGCUGUGUCUGUGAGCAGCUACUAUGGCAGCCUUUUGCUCCCUGCUGUAUUUUGGAACAGGUAAAAAUAUUUCAGCUACACUGUGUGGCCAGAUUGGAGUCAUCUGCCAAGACAUGAAGGAGUGGCAUAGCUCAGGGAUGAAGCAGUUCUGACAGCCAGCGCCAGAGGCAGGCAGAGAGCUCGUGUUGAUGGUGGGAGUCCCGUGGUGCCUUUGUGUGCGACAGUUUUAGAGCUUCGGUGGCAGCACAUUGGGCAGGAGACAACCCCAGAGUAUUAGAGUGGGCCUAAACCCAGCUGUCAGCAGAAUUGUUAUCCUAAACAGACCUGAAAACGAAACAGCUCAAAGCAACCUUGUGGUCCAAGGAUGAGCAGCCCCUGUGCAUUCCUCAGCAGGCAAGAGAGCACCCUCACCAAAUUAGCAUCAAGAAUAAAUGUGCUCCACAGAAACAACUUCAUGUUGCUCAGCCAUUCCUCAAUACACAGUUUAAAUGAUGUUUCACUCACUCACUCACUGUCUGUGCACAUCCCCAGU
Chiroxiphia lanceolata (lance-tailed manakin) is the source of this 3606-nucleotide long non-coding RNA. RefSeq lists it as uncharacterized. The record is from RefSeq and is a predicted model, not a curated record. Lineage: Eukaryota; Metazoa; Chordata; Aves; Passeriformes; Pipridae. The transcript is spliced from 3 exons.